This is an RNA transcript of Bombus huntii, 12283 nucleotides long. It is a transcript of the gene named heterogeneous nuclear ribonucleoprotein M-like, with no coding region annotated. The record is from RefSeq and is a predicted model, not a curated record. Lineage: Eukaryota; Metazoa; Arthropoda; Insecta; Hymenoptera; Apidae. The transcript is spliced from 13 exons.
AAGUCUAGUUGGAGACAGGAUCGUGUUGCAGAUUGCAGUCACAACAAGCGCUGCAUGAUAAAACCUAAGAAAUCGAUCGAAGCGCCUUAUUUGAGUAACAUCUUCCGAUAUGUGAGAGUACAGACAAGGUACCUCAUCGAUAAUACGAGCCUAGCUCUAGUUCCUCCACUGGAGUUUCCAGAUCUGUGUAUGUCUGGCGUUACGUUAUAAUAUUAUAAAGCGACGAUAGAGGAUCACAGGUAUUAUAAUCGCGAAAUGUGUCAAAGUAAAUGAUCAUCUUACGUGAGAAUUGUCUGAAAUUCAUGGAAAUUCAUAGAAAUAUAUCCACAGAAUAUUCAAAACAAUACAGGCUUACGGCUCCAUCGCAGUACCAUCGAGGUUUUGUUCCCAUAGCUUCGAGAGCCGCUGUUAUAAAGGAUUAGAGGGAGAAAGAGGAAUCGAAUACAUGUGAGAAACAAACGAAAGAAAAUACACGAGAAGAGAAAGAUAGAAAACAGUAACGGAACAGGAAGAGGGAAAAACUGUGACAGAGGUGGCGGAUGGGUAGGAUGUUGCACACGCAAUGAUCUUCGCUUAUAACGGGACCUUAUAUUCCGAUAGGUCUGAGUGGUGUUAGAAAAAUUAUUGGGGAAAAUUAUAACAUUAUCGUGGAACGUAUUGCACCUACCAUUGGUCUCGUACAAGUUAAGGCGAAGAAAAAGAAGAGAAAGAGAAGAAAUGAAAAUAUUACAUGUUAGGACAGAUAAGGACACCAUGAUCUUCCGCUGCCUUCUCGACGAGCUAAAUGUAAAUUUGGAUUGCUCGACCAUAGCGGGACGAUAACUGGGAAUUCAAAAUAGCGUCGUUUGGACGCCAUGAUGAUCAACAGUUAAUUUGUCAACUUCUCAUGGAGAUUGAGUCAGGUUUGUUAGAAUAAUAAGAUGUUUUAAUUAUUGUAACAAAAGCAAACUGAUACGUACGUUUAUAUUAUCUUUUCAUUAGAUCAUUGGUAAUACAAUUAUGUAUUUAUUGUAUAAUACAUACUUGAUACGUACCUUUGCACUAUGUAAUUAAUAUGUAAUAUGAUUGAACUAACGAAUAAUUGGUGGACACGUUUUUAUUCGUCGGUUCACUAAACGAAGAGGAAGUGCAAUCGGCGUGUCACGAACAAAGCAAUGCACGUGCCGCAAUUUUUCGUGCUACCGAUUGCGAAAGGUGAUGUCGUAUUGAAAAAAAGGGAAUAAAAGACCAAAGGUAGGGGCAAAAAAUAAAAUAGUGCCAGGUUGUGCAAAGAUCCAACCCGCUUUGGUUCCAAUGAAGUGCUAUUUAGUUGGACUGCGUGUCCUAUUACAGGCUCUCGUUCCGUUUUAUAAUGCAACGAUAUUUUCUGAACGUUGCCCGAUAAAUGAACAGCAAUUGUUCCCCUGGUCCGCGUUUUCUCAUUCCUUUUAUUUUUCCCUCUCUCUCUCUCUCUCUCUUUGUUUCGUUAUUCUCUUUGCUUCUUUCUCGUGCAAUUUCCUUUUGAACUCGAUCAUUCGACAUAUACAAGGUGUCCUAGUAAUCAUGGUACGGUUGAAAAAGAGUGAUUCUAUAUGAAAAAGUGUCGGAAAUAUGGAACGAAAUUUGUUCAUACGACGUUUCGAUUUCGAGAAAAUCGAGUUGGAAAUUUAUCAAGUAUACUUGAACUUGGCUAAUUUCAGACUGAAUAUGACUACAUAAACGACAAGAGGUUAUUCUACAUGUGAAAAUAAGUAAAAAAUGUGGAAUAAUAUUUCUUCACAGAAAUUUCCAAUUAUUUUUUCACGUAGAAUCAUUUACUUACCGACUGUACCAUUAUAAUUGUGACACCCAAUAUAUCGCGAAUAUAGGAGCGGCGAGUAAAACGAUGCAGUUCGUGGCAGUAAUGAUUGGAGAUGGAGUCACGCGAUCAGCGAUACUUUGGUUCUGGUGUGCAUGCGGCCUUAAUUAUUUUUACCAACCUUUCGUCCCAGACAAUUCGCUACAACUCCCAAGAUAAUUUCCCACUUGGCGAAUUAGCUUGUUCGCGGCUCGUGCUUAACGCCCAUCGACCACCGAUCUGGCUGUUCCAUGUUCUCGUUAAAUGGCAAUCCAAUUGCGUUAUUAUCCGUAAAAUGGGAUUGCCUUUCGAAAGAUCGCCGGGGCACUCUUCAUCGAUCGCUUUCGUUUAUUCGGGAUUAGUCGGAGAAAGUGGCUAUGGUUAUUUAAGAUGGAUUGCUUAGCUGGCAAGUGGUUCGAAUAAGGUUAACGAGCGUCUUAGUAGCUAGUAAUUUAUAGUUACCAGUAAUUGUCUACCGAUUUGUUAAACUGAAUAUCUAAUAACGAUGGCAUUAACUACGAUAACGUGCAAAUUAGUAACGUAGGUUGCUAAUAUUAAUCAUUGGUUGAACGUUUGUACGAGGAUUAUUUCUCGAUGGAAAAAUUGAAAUAAUUACAGUAUGGCUCACGAAAGUACUUCAACACAUACUAUACAAAACUUUUAUGUGUAUAUAUUGUGUGUGUUAUAUAAAAUAUCCUGAAAUUCUGUUAGCUCUGUAACGAAGCACGACUACCGUGGUUGUAUCGAUAAAAGUUGAGGCGAAUCUGAAAAUGUACGUAGAAGUCGGAAGAUAUUUAUUGCAAACAUAUAUAUAUUUAGAAAACAUUAGUAUGUGCCAUGGAGAUGUAUCUUAAGCAUAUAAUAAGUAUUCCAUUAAAUAAUUCCGCUAAAAAGUUGUUCCACUAUAUAUUGAUUCCUAUUAAUAUAUCUAUUGGAUAAUUAAUCGUUUAAAUGAUUUCACAAUUUUUGUGAGAUAUACCGUUGCAUUAAAUAUAUCGUAGCUGCUAUGUACGUUUUUAGAUUUGUUACAAACUUUACCAACAUAAUCAUGGCUAUCGUUGUAUAGGAUCUUCUGUUUUUAAGCAAUUUGAAGAAAUAAGUCAAUAUCUUACGAUUUAUUCUGUAUUAAAUAUUUUACUCCAAAGUCGCUUCAAAAUUGGCAUACAAAAUCCUUUAUCUAAGCGAUACAGGAAUCCAUGCGAUUAUAUAAAAACUUUAUACCAACAGCGAGCCUUAAAUAUUAUUAAAUCUAAGAAUUCAACAAUUUCAAAGUUUCCACACGUAGGCUGUUAUACUCUCUAUAAACAUUCAUAGAAAAUUCUCGUUCCCACAAUAACAAUAUAUACCGAUUGUUCCCCGCGUUAUUGGAUCAUAAAAAAGCUCCCGGUCUCAAAGGUAACGUGCGCAACAUUCAUAUUUCGCUUAGCAGUAAAACGAUUUAAAAGACGCUAUCGUGUAGAUGCAAAUUCGUCGUGUAGGCCUUUCCGGGCACGCUAUUUACGUUGCGGAUAAGCACAGAUUAAUCUUGUAGAAAGAUGCUCGUAAUUCUCACAGAUCUAUACUCUGGCAUACGUUUGUUUGAACGUCAUAUCUCACCACCAAUACGAUAUUUCUCUUUCAUCGUCGAACUUUUCCAGGAACAUAAAAAGAAUAACAUUGUAACUUUAUUUCGAUCGCGCGAAUGAGACGUAUCGCUCAUAUCGUUUGGGAAGGAUCACAAUUACGUGUAGGACAAUAAUUGUUUUUAAGAUUUUUGAAUCGACACGUGUUACUUACUGCAUUUCGUAUUCACUGUGCUGCCAUUCUCUUUGUAAAUUUUACAAUAAAAACAAGAACCUCCACCACCAAAAAUUGUUGCGCACGUCAGAAGCAGCACCAAAAACCCAGAGAUGUGAAAUGAAUCACAUUUGUGAUUGUAUAGAACAUGACGAGUGGCUUCACGUAUACCGACAUUUUGAUUUACAAGAUAAUGAUUAAGGGCAAAUUUAUUUUCAGUGAUUGAGAUUGUCUUUUCAAAUUUUCGGUUAUCAUUUUUUAAGCAAUAAUAUCGGAAUAAGAAUAUGAAAUAAUAAACAUUCUUGUAACAUUUAAAAAGAGUCUAUUUAAUUUAAAUACGAAUAUUGAUACGUGAAUUAUGAUUGGUUACACAAUCGAGCUUUAAUUUUUCCGAAGACAAUAGGUCGAGUUUGGAACUACUCAAUCAGUUAUGUUCAAAUGUUUAAUAAUCACAAUCGUGUAAUGUUUUCUAAAUAUGAAAUACAAUUUAUACUUGCAACGCAAAAGGGUAACAACGUAAUAAUCAUAGAAAUAUUAUAAUUAAGUGAUUUUUAUAGUUUUAUUCGUAUCUUUUUAAAUAGAAACUUAUUUGGAAUACAGUAGUUUCCGGUAUGGUUUAGCAUUUCGUCAAACGGCUAUUUUAUAGGACGCUUCACUGUCACGUAUGUUUGCUUAUUUGGUGUCUUUUACUCUUUUUAACGAAUAAACUAUUUAUAUGUUCUUUAAAUAAUUUAGUUUAUUCAGUGCAAGAAGCGUUGACAAUGAUUAAGCAAGAUGAGUAAGUAUAAAAUUGAUAUUUAUAAUAAUUCAUUGUCUAUUCUUUGUCGACAUGGAGAAUCAUGUACUGAUCUGAGUAUCAGCAGUAUAAAUUCUUUUAGCAAGUAUUUUUUGGAUCACUCAAUUUAGUUAAUACUUAUACAAAUUAUAUACUGAAAAACAUAUGAUAAAAUUUAUAGGUAUAUAUAUUAACAAGCAACAGUAAAACGUGUUUUCCCUUCCACGCGUUAGUUCUAUAUAAUCUUGUUAAAUAUUAGGGGUCAAGCGCAGAAUAACGAGGAGAGAGAUCGAAGUAGAGAACGUGAUCGUAACAGGAGAGUGGAACGACAAAAUCGCAUAAAUUCUACAAGCCGUGAUCGUAGAGAACGAAACGAUCGUGGUCGAAACGCUUCAGAUCGAUGAAUCUACGUAACAACAUUCUUUAUGAUUUUCUUUGAUAAGAUCAGAACAGAAGUUGGAAAAGUUGCUCAUGUUGAACUUUUUACUGAUGAAAAUGACAAAGUAAGAGGUUGUGGUAUUGUGGAAUUUGAAGAUUGAGACUCGGUAAAAAUUGCUGUAGAAAAAAUGCAUCGGUAUGAUGAUAAAGAGGACUUUGAUGUUAAACGGGACGAAUAUGGCCGGUUAGCAACAGCUCGUAACAAUGAAAGAGUUCGUGAUGAUAGAUUUAGGGAUCCGCCAAGGCCACAAGAUGGUGGGCGUCAAAAUAUGAAUGCUCCUGCUAGUGGAGGUGAUGGUGGUGGAGGCGGCGGUGGUGGCGGUGGUGGUGGUGAAGAUAGCAAAUUUGGGAAUACCUAUGGUCUAAGUACUCAGUUUUUAGAAUCUUUAGACAUUAAUGGACCUUUAGUUACUAGAGUAUUCGUAGCAAAUCUUGACUACAAAGUGGAUGAAGAGAAAUUAUUAGAAGUGUUUAAAUUAGCUGGUAAAGUACUACAUGUUGAAUUAGGAAAAGAUAAAGAUGGAAAAUCUCGAGGAUAUGGAGUGGUAGAAUAUGACCAUCCAGUAGAAUCUGUACAAGCUAUAUCAAUGCUUCAUAAUCAGCAACUUUAUGAUAGACGUAUGACUGUGAAACUUGACAGAGCAAAUGAACCAGACAUGCCACCAAAAUUACCAGAAGGGUUAAAGGGAAUUGGAAUGGGUCUUGGAGCUGGUGGUAAUAGAUUAAUGGAUGUAGCUAGAAACAUUCCUAUUGAACAAGCAAAUAAUCCACCUGUUGUGAGUCCUAUGUCUGCUCUUCUGUUGGUUGCUGAUGCUUUUAGAACUGGUUUAAAUAAUGUGCCAGAACAGUUAGGAGUUGAAGGUUUGUCUGAUUUACAAGCCUCUACUAGACAAGGCAACAAUUCAUUUGUGCGGCAAGGCUUAUCUAAAAUGGACAAUGAUGUAGGCUUCGAUAGAAACAAUGUUUUUGAUGGUUCUAACUUCGCUGGUGGCAGAAAUUUUGACGGUAGAUUCAACAGAGGGGACAGCGAUCGUGUUCCUGGUGGAGAUGGUGGUUUUGCCAGAAAUCAAGAUGAAGGAAGAGGUGGGAACAAACAGAAUACAUAUGAUUCUCGACCGAGGUCAGACAUUAUUCUUAUAAGAAAUCUCCCACCUAACACAACAUGGCAAACGUUGAAAGACAAAUUUCAAGACGUUGGAGAGGUGAAAUUAGUUGAAAUGCGGGGAACUGGCAUGGCCAUAGUACAAUUCGCAUCUAAAUGGGAUGCUAAACGUGCUGUGUCUAUGAUGAAUAGGUCACGUAUCGAUGGUAGGACGAUUGAUGUUUGUCUCUACUAACUUACUUUAACCGUUCGGAGGAAAAAGAAUCGUUCGAAUUGCCGGACCAGAUUCGAACUUUGAUCUGUCCUUUGCCGAGCAACUGCUGUUAUCAAUCGAGCUAUGUAGGUCAUCGACGUAUUCUUUCUUUUUAAGUCCGAUGCUCGAAAUGGAUGCUGUCUGCACUCUACUAGAACUCAUAUCGGGGAUAGAGAACAGGGAAUAUAGAGGCGUCGAGGAAGGAGCAAGUUUCGACGAAGUGUGCUGCAAGUGAAUCGAGUGAAGCAACGUGGCGCCGCUGUAGAAACUUGUCAGUAGAACAAGUCGACCUAAUGUCCGACCAUGAAGGUGCCUUGUCCGCUCGCAGAUGUUGCACUUUGUCUCCGUCGCUUGGCUACCACGUAUUUACAAGUUGUUAACGACCAACGAUCCACCAAAAUUUGUUCGUUAUCUCCAUGAUCGACGCGGUUCGAAGCGAUAAUGGUGUGGAGGGACGUGAGCAAACAAGGAAAGGAAGGACGAAAGGGAGGAAAACACGAAGACUCAACAAACGAAGGAUAUCCGAGCGAACUUUGUAAGUAAAUCUUCGUUUAUAAAUAAAAGAUUUAAUUGAAUUUCUGCGUUAAUCUAAAUAUUUAAGGCAUCGAGCGGUGCAAUUACCGCAAUGUUUAUUAUUGUCGCAUUUUAAUUUUGUUUUCGUUCGUUCAUUUAAUUCAUCAUCGUCGCCAUUCUCCAGGUAAUGAAUGGCGUUGAAAGGUAAUGCGCUUGUACACGUCAACGACGAUAUCGUUGAUGAUUAUUGCUGAUCGAUGAACAGCUACAUUUCAGGUUCACGCAGCAGACGCAAAUACAUUCUUGUGAUUGGGAGAGUGGCUGGAAAACGGGUGAAGUGGGCAAUGUUGUGAGUUUCUAAGGCGUCGUAAAGUAAAAAAUGGAACGAUAGAGGUGAAAUAAGUCGGGAAGAGUGGGGUGAGUAGGAAGGCAUGGACAUUGCAAAUUUGCAGAUCGCGCGAAAGAGGUUGUGGGGUAGAAGAAGUGAGCGUUCAUAGGCACAUUUUAGGGCGUGAGGGGAUGAAAUACGAGCCGACAGUAGCAUGCACGCGAAACGUCCGCUAAGGUGAAAUCGAGUUUAACGCGUUAAUAGAGGCUAGCGAUACUAAUUUACAGGAGUUGUUACUCCGUCAGUAAUGAUUCUUUGGUGUUCAAACUUCAUACGAUCACCUUGUUUCUUACAGGUGGACGAAGAUGAAAAUAAAUAUUUCUCUUUAACCUUACUAUGUGACAAAUGCAUCUAAGAAAUAUUGCUCGAAUCUGGUCAUCAUCUCAAGUUACUUUUAAGCGGUCCAUCGAACUAAAAUAUAUCCAUACGUUGACAAUUAGUCAAAAAGAUUUCGAUGAUGGAUAUGGUACUACGAUUCUUAAUUUGUUUGUGUCUUUACUCGUCUUAUCUCAUUGAGAAAACUUAUUGAAACAAGCAGAGUUCACUUUGACGUUAAUAAUUAACAUAUACAACGUUAAUAAUUAAGAAAUUACGAUUUUUAUUAAUUAAAUUAUAAAGAAACUACGAGUGAUAGGAAAUAGAUAAAAGAUGAAGGCAAUGAAACAUCAUUCUCUGUAAUUUCUUCCAAAUAGAGAAAUUCCUCUUAAACGACAAUCGGAGAUCCAUUUAAUAAAGUUACGUUAAAAUACAAUCGGAAAUGAGAAACUAGUUUUACAAAUUUUUCAGCUGUUUUCUGGCGACUAAGUCUACAAAAUUCUUGCAAGAACCGUUCACGUAGUUUAAAACCGCGAAGGUAUCGCAAAGAUGUUCGACGUAGCAAUAAUGGUAUGCAAACGGGAGCGCGAUUUCCUGUACAAGCAUCGAGCCUGGCGAGGAAGUGGCAAUAUUUGCAGACUGGCUUCGCUACCGAAAGUUCGGAAUCCAUCUACCUGAAGAUAGUGCCGAGCAAUAUUUACCCACCUGCAAUCAAUUUACUGAUUUCCUCACAAAUUAGAUCGAGCUUUGCGGCUACGGUCACAUAUACAUGCACCAAUAAACGAUUUUUGCUUCGUUGGUCGUCGGAUCUUCUGUAAUCUCUCAUUUCGAUGGGUUUAGGGAUAUCAAUAUUUGUAUGAAUCAUGAUUCGAUUCAACUAGUUGUGUUUAUAAUUCUACUAACGAUAACUGUGAUACGACGUGUAUGAAAAUGACCAUUCCUGAAUUUCAAAUUUUCACCUGAUUUUUAAUACGACAGUAACCCUCGUAAUUAAUCACACGACGCACACAUUUCAUGCUUCAGUUCAUUUUUAUUGUAAAAGUUAACUAAAGAUCCCUUGCUAUCAUAAAUACAUAUAAUUAUUUAUUGGAAUAACGAACGCUGUUUCCAUUGUAUUAUUGAUUAGGAAUUUGUAUGUGCUCGAAAUUUAAAUUAUUCGACCAGUGCACAUAGACUUUUGAAGUUGUUCGAAUAAUUACGAGAGAUAAUACAUAUACGAAGAUGAGUAUGGAAAUUAACGAAGGAGGCUAGAGUAUUAGUAGAGCUGAGUACAGCUUAAACAUAUUCAUUACUGCUGACAUAUGCAUCCAUUUAAUUGAAGGAGGAGCAAAACAACGAAUAUUCAUUACGUGUAAAUAAGUUAUCGAAUAAAAAUCAGAUAAAAAUAAAUUCACUUUAGAAAUCAUUUUUCAAUAUUUUAAUCGACCGAUCAUUUAAACGAGAAAAAAGAAAGGAUUUUUAGGUACGCUACAUCCUGUGAUAUUCGAUGAUACGCACUACAAUCAGAGUUACGUGAAAGUAUUAUUAAAUUUUUUAUACUUUUCUCGACAGGAUAACUGACGAUAAUUUAAAAAUGUAACACCAGCUUAACGUAAUUUCUUUGUUCAUAUUUUUACUUUAAUAGGGUCACGUAAGCGGAGAACGCGAAGUUACCUCGCACCCUUGGCGUUGCUAAUAAAGGUUAAUGAAAACACUAAUAAGGAUCCCGACAUUAUUUUUCAUUAGCGCGACGUUUCAUCGUCGCUGCUCUGACCUCUUCCUGUCGAGUUUCUUAUCGACUAGAAUCCAACGUAUUUCCUUUUGUUUCCUCGAGUAAAUUUUCCACGCUAAAGGUGCAGAGACGACGUUAUUAAAGGCAAUGAGGGAGCUUCCCUUUCGUUGAUAUCCAGGUGGAAAAGUUCGCGCGCGAGCUAUGAGAAAGAGAAACGCGAAUGGAGUCUCGGAGAUCUGAACGCGAUUGUUUCGUUUCAACGUGGCUGAUAACGCGUAGCUGCGACGCGACGACCGAGCUUUUGGCGCGCGCAAAACAAAUGCACGCCGUAAUUGAAAUGUAAAUUUUUCUGAAAUAAUUGAACGAAUCGAUUGCAAAACGGCGCGAAGAAAUACAAACCCUUUGUUAAACAAACAAAUUUGAUCCAAAAUUUAUAUUGAUACGAUCCAAAAUAAUGAAGUAUAUAGUUUAGCUUGGUUUCUAUUGAUUUAUAAUUACAUAUAUGUUUAUAUUGAGAAAGUUUUGUAUCAUCGUUUUAAUAAUUCGCUUGUAAAACAGACUUGUAAAGCUAUAAAUAGUAAAAGGCGAUUUAUAAAAUAUGGUCCUUUUACUUGUAAUGAAAAGAUUUUUCAUUAAAAUAAAUUAUAUGUUCAUGUAACAUCGUAUGUAUCUAUUACAAAAUGACAAUAAUUAUUAUAAUAAAAUAUGCCAUUCCACAAAAUGUAUAUGUAUAUUUUGAAAAGAUAUAUUUUUUAUUUUGUAAAUAGAUACAUUUUUUAGACUCUUGUUCUCUUUCUCUCGACCUCCUUUUCCGGAAAAUCGAAGAGAAAAGAUACGAUAUUUCCUGUGACCCAUGAUAUACAAAUUCUGUAGGAUCGAAACGUUCGACGAAAGGUUCGUUUGAUGUGUCAUGAAACUAGUCGAAUGUUCAGCGGACUCGUCACAUUCUCCUAUCGGCCAUUUUAAUCAAUUUGUCCCCAUCGAUGAGAAAUUUCCUGCCGAAUAUUUAAACGACUUCGAAACUCUUCGUUUCCCACGGGACAUCUUGAAGCGGAAAAUAGUUCGAUUACACUUUUUCUUUUAAUUGUUCAUUGCAAAUCGUCGAUUAUGAGACUUCACAUAAUUACGUGAAGAUGCUACGUAAAAUGUUAAUGCGCUACCACGAAUAGGAUUAAUUUUGCGUAAGGGCAAUUUCAUUUUAUGUGGAUCGAGGACGCAGACUGGUAACCGAAACUGGAAUUUUAGGUUAAAGUAUAGUAGAUAUCUACGAGGUAAGUGUGCCACGCGAGGCAUCUGUUGGCUAAGCACUAACACUUUCUCUUGUAGAUUGCAGAACGUUGAUUGUAGAACGAGAUAAGUUCCCGAGCUUUAUGGGGUUGGCGGUUAAAGGGAUGUGAAACUGAUAUGUCGUACAGACGUAACAUUUUAACUUUAAUUCAUAUCAUUCGAAAUUAUUACAAGUAUAAAAUUUGCUUAUGAACUAUUUUUCCCUACACGCUAGAAAAAAAUUCAUUUCAUGUAGAUCGAAGUUAUAAAAACUAUUCUGAUUUGAAUAAAAUAUUUAUGAAUUGCCAACUCCCAGAGAAAAGUCAACAAAUAUUAUAAACUCGUAGUUACUAUCUCAUAAAUGAAAAAAGGAGAAAGAUGAAAUAGGAAAUGUCUCUUCAAAUGCUUCGUCUGAUUUAUGGCGACCUAUACCACUUACGCUCCGUUUCUCUGCACAUCAUGUACAUGUUAUGUAAAUCUCUACGCUUACUAAUCGAUGUAAACACAUACUAAUCGGGUAAAUAAACAUGCCGCAAAGAAGAAAAUCUGAACUUUUACCAAUGGAAAACAUACUACGUUGCCUAAUAGACGAAUUUUGUUCAAUCUAUCAUCUAUUAAGGAUACUAGAUGUUUUUAUAUUCGCGUAAAACAAAAUUCAGUCAAAUCUAAUGUAAACACGUUGGAACUUUACGCUUUUACGCAUACAGAUGCAAUGACAUAUAAUAAUUCGUUUCAUCGCUAAUCAAAUCAGAGUAUAAAAUGUCUUAAACACGAUACGUGUAUCAGUCUCAAAUAAGCAAGUGUAGCCACAAGUACUUAACAUUUGACAGAGAAAUGAAUUGUAGCACGUAAUCUGUUCUGCGGCUAUAAAGGAUCGUCUCACGAGUAUAAAUGCCGAUUAAGAAGAUAGCAGGAGCAACGAUUACCGUGUUUCGUGUGCAUUCGUAUCAGUUUCGUGAGGAAUAGAAAACAGAGCUUAACCAGUUGGAAUUCAAGUUGGGGAAGUAAUCUCCCGUAAUCAAAGCCUUGUUCGACGUCGUAGCUUAACUGGAAAUCGGUAUCAACCAAUCCCAGGUGUUCAAUUGGCACCGUGCCACGAUUUAAGCCCAGCUUAAAUUUCUCGCAAUGGCCGGGGAACUGGGGCAGAUUCAGAUUAGAAUUAACUAAUUGUUGCGUAGAGCGGUGUAAUUAGCCCUUCGUUAACCGUCUACUAACGUUUAAUUAAAAUCAUAUACGGCGAUGAAUCGUUCGCGAUGAUACGGUUUGAAGGCGGCUGACAAGCAGCCGCGCGACCCAGUUAUGCAAAAAUCUAGAUCCUUGUGCCAGGAAUGCGGGAAAAUGUAAAAUUCAUCUUAUUAAAGGGCUGAAUAUAUUAGGAAAACGAAAUAUCCCUAGGAGACUGCCUCUUCGAUAUCUUAGUCAUGAUUCAUAAAUGUUAUUGCAGUUUCCAGUUGAAUUUAAGUUUCAAAUUUUAACUCUUCUCCACGCUGUUCUUGCGAUUCUCUGAAGCGAAGGAUAUAUAAACCUAUAGAAUACAAAUUUACUUAGCAAGUAGUUAUUCAUAAAAUUUCUAACAAUUAAACAUUAAGUGUUGUUCGAAUUGGGCUAUAAGGAUUUAGCCAUAUAAAUUUUUUAACCGAGUAUAUCUUCAUCUUUCAUGAUCAACUAUAUAACAAUUUAACGCAAUAUAGUUAUCGUCUAGUAUCAAUUACUGCUAUUUAUAUCUAUUCACAGUAAUUAUCUCACCACAUCCAUUUAUAUCAGAAUAUAUAAUACUUUUGCUUUCUACAAAAAUGAGUGCAUAAAAACAAACACUACUAUAUAUGUAUGUUCUAUAAUUCCAUAUUGAUAAAAGUGAAAUAUUCUGAAAUAAAUUUACUUUCUACGAUUUCCCAUUAAAUGUGCACUGUAGUUCAAUAUGAUCAUUCUA